UUAUAUCGUAAAGGUCGAAUGAUAAAAAUUUAAAUAGUUUACCGGUUGCUACAGGGAUUAUCAAUGAAUCGUCACUUAAAUUUUUUACGUUUCGUACCACGUAAAGUCACUAGAUUAAAGGUAUAAGAUAAUCAAAAGCGUACCUCUAAUUGAUAAUUAAUGCCUCUUUGUCAUCCUAUCACUUAUAAGAAUAUAAUCGUAUAUUUCGUUGUUCGCCGAUAGUAACAGUUCGUUGUUCUAAUAUAGUAGUGUUUAUAUGUAGAGAAGAAAUUAAAUUAUAUUAAAAUGGUGACAAAAGUGAAUGUUAUCUUAAUGCAAAAUCUGCAUUUCAUUCAACUUCUCUUUACAUCAGAACUCAUAUGAAAAUGACUGAUAAGUUGAAAUUUCUGUGCUUUAUGAAGAGAUUGGGUGGUCCUCCAAUUACAGUCACAUGCAUGGGUUUUUUUGCCAUUAAUAAGACUUUCAUUUGUAGAGCUUAUAAAGCUCUGUCCUCAAGCUUUACUACUAUAUUAGAAAUUCAGAACUCCGAAAAGCACUGCCUUAAUUCAACAGAAGAUAUGUUGAAACAGUUUAUUUGAAUGAUAAAAAAAUAUAUUUGUGUUUAUUAAAUUAACAGCUUUGUAUUUGAAAGUAUUAAUUAAAGUAGAUUUGGUGAUUAAAAUUCAUAAUUUAAUAAGUAUUUGCACUCGAAGUAUUUUAAUUAAAAUUUUACAGACGUAUUCAGAUGUAAUUGUUUACUGAUAAGAAGUGUGUAAUGAAUAAAUUGGAUUAUAAAAAAAAAUUUUUAUAUGUAUAAUGUCAAGUAUGCGAUAAAAUCUCACAGUACAUCUCAGGCACUGUUGUAUGCAUUAAUUUUCUUAAAUAAAUUGACUUU
RNAcentral lists this unclassified non-coding RNA (874 nucleotides) under Centruroides sculpturatus (bark scorpion). RNAcentral describes it as "uncharacterized LOC111630829, transcript variant X2". Lineage: Eukaryota; Metazoa; Arthropoda; Arachnida; Scorpiones; Buthidae. The record is from RNAcentral.